GAUGAACGCUGGCGGCGUGCCUAAUACAUGCGAGUCGAGCGAACAGACGAGGAGCUUGCUCCUCUGACGUUAGCGGCGGACGGGUGAGUAACACGUGGAUAACCUACCUAUAAGACUGGGAUAACUUCGGGAAACCGGAGCUAAUACCGGAUAAUAUAUUGAACCGCAUGGUUCAAUAGUGAAAGACGGUUUUGCUGUCACUUAUAGAUGGAUCCGCGCCGCAUUAGCUAGUUGGUAAGGUAACGGCUUACCAAGGCAACGAUGCGUAGCCGACCUGAGAGGGUGAUCGGCCACACUGGAACUGAGACACGGUCCAGACUCCUACGGGAGGCAGCAGUAGGGAAUCUUCCGCAAUGGGCGAAAGCUUGACGGAGCAACGCCGCGUGAGUGAUGAAGGUCUUCGGAUCGUAAAACUCUGUUAUUAGGGAAGAACAAAUGUGUAAGUAACUAUGCACGUCUUGACGGUACCUAAUCAGAAAGCCACGGCUAACUACAUG
This 497-nucleotide ribosomal RNA is filed under the name uncultured bacterium. RNAcentral's name for it is "partial 16S ribosomal RNA". It matches the Rfam family "Bacterial small subunit ribosomal RNA", at positions 28 to 507 of the family's 1533-position model. The record is from RNAcentral.